UACGAAGGGGGCUAGCGUUGUUCGGAUUUACUGGGCGUAAAGGGCGCGUAGGCGGCGUGGUAAGUCAGCUGUGAAAUCUCCGAGCUUAACUCGGAACGGUCAGCUGAUACUGCUGUGCUAGAGUACAGAAGGGGCAAUCGGAAUUCUCGGUGUAGCGGUGAAAUGCGUAGAUAUCAAGAGGAACACCUGAGGCGAAGGCGGGUUGCUAGGCUGAUACUGACGCUGAGGCGCGAAAGCCAGGGGAGCAAACGGG
This 253-nucleotide ribosomal RNA is filed under the name uncultured bacterium. RNAcentral describes it as "partial 16S ribosomal RNA". It matches the Rfam family "Bacterial small subunit ribosomal RNA", at positions 524 to 776 of the family's 1533-position model. The record is from RNAcentral.